RNAcentral lists this ribosomal RNA (255 nucleotides) under uncultured bacterium. RNAcentral describes it as "partial 16S ribosomal RNA". It matches the Rfam family "Bacterial small subunit ribosomal RNA", at positions 524 to 776 of the family's 1533-position model. The record is from RNAcentral.
UACGAAGGGGGGCGAGCGUUGUUCGGAUUUACUGGGCGUAAAGGGCGCGCAGGCGGCUCAUUUUGUCAGGCGUGAAAGCCCCGGGCUUAACCUGGGAACUGCGUUUGAUACGGAUGGGCUAGAGUUCGGGAGAGGAGAGUGGAAUUCCCAGUGUAGAGGUGAAAUUCGUAGAUAUUGGGAAGAACACCGGUGGCGAAGGCGGCUCUCUGGACCGAUACUGACGCUGAGGCGCGAAAAGCGUGGGGAGCAAACAGG